Long non-coding RNA from Poecilia latipinna (sailfin molly), 270 nucleotides. RefSeq lists it as uncharacterized. The transcript is spliced from 3 exons. The record is from RefSeq and is a predicted model, not a curated record. Lineage: Eukaryota; Metazoa; Chordata; Actinopteri; Cyprinodontiformes; Poeciliidae.
UGGCAUCCAGCUUAACGAGUUUUAUAACUUUCAUAAACUACAGAUUGAAGGUUUGGAGGAAAAGUCAAAGCAGACUGAGUCGCCUGAGCUCUGAUGCUGAUUACCAGAGCCUGACCAGCGGGGACGUAGAGCUGAGCUCUGUGUUCUGGAGUUGGAGACAGAAAUCUGGGCAGAUAGUCGCCUUCUGCACAGGACGGCACCGGUGGACCCACUGGAGAUGAGACGCUGAGGACAGACGGCGGUGUACACGGGUCGCACUCUGAAUCUAAU